Oncorhynchus tshawytscha (Chinook salmon) is the source of this 2653-nucleotide long non-coding RNA. RefSeq lists it as uncharacterized. Lineage: Eukaryota; Metazoa; Chordata; Actinopteri; Salmoniformes; Salmonidae. The record is from RefSeq and is a predicted model, not a curated record. The transcript is spliced from 2 exons.
AUCCUUUUAAAGCGGGCUCAAUAUGUCUCAAUCUGCACUUCACUCUAAGCUUUUGGGUAUAGUCUAUGGGACAGAGCCCAGAAAUAUAUUAAUUAAAGCGAGAUGUUGUGUCGAACUCAAAUGAUUCAGAGUUUACACGCUGUGAAGAGAGACGGCUCAGAGAAGCUGGAACAUCAAGGACUAUGAUGGAGAUUCACGAAAAAAGAGCGAUCGAUUCCAAGGCUCUCCUUUCUUCACCUCAAACCGGCACUGAACUCCGGAGUGCCGCAAGCUGCUAUGCCCGAUCCCAGCGCCGGGGUCAGCGGGAAUGCGUCUCCGUGCCGAUAUGCUGAUGAGCCAGGCCACUCCGGUGACUCCCGUUUGAGCUCCGCCCACUCUGCGGCUUUGCGCAGGCCUCUGAUGUCUACCGGUGUCCGGGCCUCGCUAACUAACAGCCUUUUACAGCCCUCGUCUACUCCUUCUUUAAUAGGCAGUGUGUGGACGCUAAUGGAUUGUUGUCAGUGGUGUGUUCUGAACGCUGUUUUAGAGAAGGACCCUCACCAGCCUACUGGUUUCUCUCAGAGCUAACCUGACCACCGAACUUCCAGCUUGCUGGCUUCUCUCAGAGCUAACCUGACCACCAGACCUCCAGCCUACUGGCUUCUCUCAGCUAACCUGACCACCAGACUUCAGGCUCGCUGGCUUCUCUCAGAGCUAACCUGACCGCCAGACUUCCAGUCUACUGGUUUCUCUCAGAGCUAACCUGACCACCAGACUUCCAGCCUACUGGUUUCUCUCAGAGCUAACCUGACCGCCAGACUUCCAGCCUACUGGUUUCUCUCAGAGCUAACCUGACCACCAGACUUCCAGCCUACUGGUUUCUCUCAGAGCUAACCUGACCAUCAGACUUCCAGCCUACUGGUUUCUCUCAGAGCUAACCUGACCACCAGACUUCCAGCCUACUGGUUUCUCUCAGAGCUAACCUGACCACCAGACUUCCAGCCUAUUGGUUUCUCUCAGAGCUAACCUAACCACCAGACUUCAGGCUCGCUGGUUUCUCUCAGAGCUAACCUGACCGCCAGACUUCCAGUCUACUGGUUUCUCUCAGAGCUAACCUGACCACCAGGCUUCCAGCCUACUGGUUUCUGUCAGAGCGAACCUGACCACCAGACUUCCAGCUCGCUGGCUUCUCUCAGAGCUAACCUGGCCGCCAGACUUCCAGCAUACUGGUUUCUCUCAGAGCGAACCUGACCACCAGACUUCCAGCUCGCUGGCUUCUCUCAGAGCUAACCUGACCGCCAGACUUCCAGCAUACUGGUUUCUCUCAGAGCUAACCUGACCACCAGACUUCCAGCCUACAGGUUUCUCUCAGAGCUAACCUGACCGCCAGACUUCCAGCCUACUGGUUUCUCUCAGAGCUAACCUGACCGCCAGACUUCCAGCCUACUGGUUUCUCUCAGAGCUAACCUGACCGCCAGACUUCCAGCCUACUGGUUUCUCUCAGAGCUAACCUGACCACCAGACUUCCAGCUUGCUGGCUUCUCUCAGAGCUAACCUGACCGCCAGACUUCCAGCAUGCUGGUUUCUCUCAGAGCUAACCUGACCACCAGACUUCCAGCCUACAGGUUUCUCUCAGAGCUAACCUGACCGCCAGACUUACAGCCUACUGGUUUCUCUCAGAGCUAACCUGACCGCCAGACUUCCAGCCUACUGGUUUCUCUCAGAGCUAACCUGACCGCCAGACUUCCAGCUUACUGGUUUCUCUCAGAGCUAACCUGACCACCAGACUUCCAGCUCGCUGGCUUCUCUCAGAGCUAACCUGACCGCCAGACUUCCAGCUUACUGGUUUCUCUCAGAGCUAACCUGACCGCCAGACUCACAGGGUGAGCAGAGGGAGAGGAGAGUUAGUUCACUCAUGCUACAAAUCAAAGUAAUAUCCUUAAAAGAUGUAGGGAUGGAUUAAAUGCCAUGGUGCUGUGUGGAAAGUGAAUUCUGUCCUAUAAACAGUCUGAGUGGAUUGAGCUUCACCAUUCCUCCCCCAGUCUCUCCUAUAAACAGUCUGAGUGGAUUGGUCAUCACCCUUCCUCCCCCAGUCUCUCCUAUAAACAGUCUGAGUGGAUUGGGCUUCACCCUUCCUCCCCCAGUCUCUCCUAUAAACAGUCUGAGUGGAUCGGGAUACACCCUUCCUCCCCCAGUCUCUCCUAUAAACAGUCUGAGUGGAUUGGUCAUCACCCUUCCUCCCCCAGUCUCUCCUAUAAACAGUCUGAGUGGAUUGGGCUUCACCCUUCCUCCCUCAGUCUCUUAUGUAAAAGUUGGGGAAUUAAAAGAAAGCUUUUUCAUGAGCCAAUGAUGAGCCAGUGAUCAGGUCAUGGUGUCACUGUGAUAAUGUAUGCAACUUAAAAUGUGUCUCGAAGGCUCACUUUUGUAUACUUCUUGAGAUGUGCUGUUUUUAUAACGCUUGAAUAUGAUACCUUAAUAUAUUAUAUAUUCUCUUCACCUAAAUACAGUAAACACAUAAUGAGAUAAAAUAUAUAUUUCUGGAUUAUUGUUAUAAUGCGUAAUGUGUAUGCUUAUUUUAUGAAUCAUUAUCUCAGGUAGGAAUUAAUUGUAUACAAUUAGAGAUAUGACUUCAAUGUAAUCUGUUUCCUGCCAAUAAAGCAACCAUCAUAAUGUG